Molecule: ribosomal RNA, 275 nt
Filed under: Salmonella enterica
Lineage: Bacteria; Pseudomonadati; Pseudomonadota; Gammaproteobacteria; Enterobacterales; Enterobacteriaceae
Also listed under: 4 other names
Description: partial 16S ribosomal RNA
Rfam family: Bacterial small subunit ribosomal RNA
Source: RNAcentral
AAAUUGAAGAGUUUGAUCAUGGCUCAGAUUGAACGCUGGCGGCAGGCCUAACACAUGCAAGUCGAACGGUAACAGGAAGCAGCUUGCUGCUUCGCUGACGAGUGGCGGACGGGUGAGUAAUGUCUGGGAAACUGCCUGAUGGAGGGGGAUAACUACUGGAAACGGUGGCUAAUACCGCAUAACGUCGCAAGACCAAAGAGGGGGACCUUCGGGCCUCUUGCCAUCAGAUGUGCCCAGAUGGGAUUAGCUAGUUGGUGAGGUAACGGCUCACCAAG